This is a long non-coding RNA of Photinus pyralis (common eastern firefly), 574 nucleotides long. RefSeq lists it as uncharacterized. Lineage: Eukaryota; Metazoa; Arthropoda; Insecta; Coleoptera; Lampyridae. The record is from RefSeq and is a predicted model, not a curated record. The transcript is spliced from 2 exons.
ACUUAUCCAGCUUAGUCUAUUGAGCUCUUUCUUAAAGAAAAAAAAAAACUUAAUUUCUCUACAAUGAAGGCGUUUAUCUUAGCUUUUGUGCUAUUUUAUACAUGUUCUGCAUUUAAACAUAAUGUCCACCCAGAUUUGGUAAAAUCAUGGGAUAAAAUGGUGGGCCGUCAUAGAGAAAGAUGCAUAGCUGAAACUAAAGUUGAUAAAGAAGACGCAAUGGGAGCAGUUUUAGCUAUGGACCUUCCAGAGUAUUACGAAUAUAAAUGUUUUGCAUACUGUAUCUGGAGGGAGUCGGAAUUCUAUAACCCCCAGACAAAACAACUUAAUUACGCGAAUAUUGUAAGAGGAGUAACAGGAUUUACGAAGGAGAACACAAAACAGUGCUAUAAAAAAUACAAGAAUACUGGCGAUCACUGUGAAAGGAUCUACGGUAUUGUAACAUGUGGUAUUGGGAAGCUUAGUUUUUAAUCAGUAUUCACAUUUUUUAUUAAUAUUGAUUUUUUUGUCAAAAUGUUUUAUUUGUAACAAAUUGUGUAGGUACAAAUGUUAAAAAUGCCUAAUUUUUAGUAAUUAA